AUCUCUACCAGGCAAGACUGGCAUUACAUGCAUGCACACACACCCAAGUACACUUCAGAUGAUAUUCAGGUACUCCAACAAAAGCAUUCGUUUUUAAAUAAAGGAACAGUAUUCUGCUAGAUACAGCACACUUUAACAGCAUUCUAAAUAAAGCGCAACAGAAUAACCUUUACCCCAAGUUCAGAACAGGGAAACAGGGCAGACUCAAAUCAAUGCCGACUGCUCCAGCUUCAAUGCAACAGUGAUAUGUGGGUGUGUACAGCCUAGAAUGCUCACAAGCAGAAUGAUUAACAGCUGGGACAACUAAGAGACCACACCAGUUGAGUUAUUACAGCAACAGCAUACAAUUUUAAUACCUGAAGGUGGAAAAUCCUUUACAGGUACUUAAUUUCACAAAAAUAGCCAGCAAAAUUAUAUCUUAGAAACGCAUCACUUCGUAAACUGUAUCCGACGUAUGAGAUGCAUGUCAUUAGAGCACGCACGUUUACACAAAUACAUACUUUAGGCUUUAUUUUUUUCGUAAGGAAUUAAGGCUGACUUGAAAUCAAAGCCAUCUAACUCGACAGUCUGUAAAAUCUUGCCAAAAUUAAUUCAAUAUCAAUUAACUCCACUCUGCAUAAAAUCAAGUACUUAAACGUCAAACAUCCCGUCUCAUCGCCGCGAGAGGGCGGCACCCCUAGGCUGGCCUUGCAAGCCAGGCCGCUCACUCGAUUAUAAAAUUUGCACUUAAUUACAAUUUAAUAUAAAAUGGUUUGUAAACACCCGACACGCCGAGAAUAAACUAUAAAUCUAUGGAUAAAAUCGCCACACACCACCGCAGCGGCAUUAGCCAACGUACUACUGGGCGGUGUUUCAGUCGCGGGCAAAAUCGUCAGGCGGCACAUUCAAACGAGGCCGCCCAGCCGUCCGCCAGUCAAGACAGCCGGCAGCCAAAAUGGCGCCGCCGCCGCAGCUCGCAUAUUACCGGCCGCCGGCAGGCUUGACAUAUUACGGACCCCCGAGCUAACAAGGUGGCUAACGCCACAAUCGAAACAGACAAAUCUAAAGCCAUUGACCACGAAAGUGCAAACCACAGCGAUACACUGCGACACGUUUGCCUGCAUGCAAGUAACGAGUACUGACAUGUUUUUCUUUGAAAGAAAACGACUUGAAUUAUGCAGUGCACAAACUGGACGUGCAGCUCGUCCACGAUGCCUUCGUUCCCCCCACCGAAAACCACCAUCAGCUCCUUGAUUGCCACCGCCCGGUGUCCAUGCCGAGGCCGGGGCACCGGGCCGGACCAGCCAAGGACCCGCUUCCAACGCGGCUGCAGG
Long non-coding RNA from Paramormyrops kingsleyae, 1313 nucleotides. RefSeq lists it as uncharacterized. The record is from RefSeq and is a predicted model, not a curated record. Lineage: Eukaryota; Metazoa; Chordata; Actinopteri; Osteoglossiformes; Mormyridae.